This 315-nucleotide long non-coding RNA is filed under the name Capsella rubella. Its description in RNAcentral is "long non-coding RNA (CRUB_LNC002303)". The record is from RNAcentral. Lineage: Eukaryota; Viridiplantae; Streptophyta; Magnoliopsida; Brassicales; Brassicaceae.
UUGACGUUUCAAGGUCUCGAGUUCUUUAUGUUUGCUUCUAGAUAAUAAAAUUCCUAUGCAAGUAAGUGUAAAAGACUCAAAACAGAACAUAAGAAACAGAUGAUGUAUAUGAGAAAUAAGAAGAACACAUUCGUUUUCAGUUAGCUAUGUUUUAAUAUUGUUAAUUACAAAUAAUUAAUCACCACUCAUAUUGUAAUAUUUUGGGAACUUCAAUCCAAAUCAACAUGAACUUUCAUGAAUGUUUUAUACUCAUCAUUGAAAAAAAAAAAAAAAGUAGAACGUAUAGGCGUAACAAAGAGAAGCGAAAAAAGGAAG